UUCCGGCGAUUCUUUGUGUGUGUGUGUUAGUGCUCUUGGACAGACCAUUGGAUAUCUGGAGGUGGACCUGGACUCCAGGAUGCAGUGCGUCGAGAUCCUGUCCAGGUAAAAUUGGAUGCUAUGGUCACUCGAAAAGCCAUUUGACCGGAAGUUCCAGCGAAUGAUUGUGUGUGUUGGUGCUUUUGGACAGAUCUCUGUACAUGUAUGGAGUUUUUGCAAAAACUACUGGAUAUAUAUACAUGGAGAAGUCACCAUUCAAGACUCCAGAGCGUCAUCGAAAACUUCUUCAGGUUUUUACAAUAUUUGACAAAUCUGCAAUCAAAACUAAAAAAGAGCCAAACAAUGACGGGACAUCUGGGAAUUAAGCAAACAUUUUGAAGACCACCCGGCCACAAUGGCCGGGAAUCCGGCAAUAGUACAAAUUUAUUUCUCUAUAUAAAUUGCAAUUUGUUGUUGGCUGCCCGAUAUGCCGAUGCUAAUCUGAGGAGGGGCGACUCCAGGGGGGAGUUGGUCCCUCUUGCUAUCUGAAGUGCCGCCGUCGCUUUCAAUUCGCCUCGACGAUCCUCGAUUGGCGCCAGCAACAUGGUCAACAUGCAACAUGCAACAUCCACAGCGGCAACAGUAGCCGGCAACAUUGGCAUUGAGUUUGAGUACAAUUAAUUGAACACCAACAACAAAUCGAUUGCGCGAACAACAACAAAGUGAACAGCAGCAACAGCAACAGCAACAGCAGCAGCAACAACGACAAUAACAACAUGACACAUUGUGUUGUUCACAUGCCGCCGCUGCAGGGCAGCAAAACCAGAUGAAGACGACAAAAAGGAGCAGCGGCGGCAGCAGCAGCAGCAACAACCUGCCGGCAACAUGUUGCCGGUGUACAAAAAUGUAGCCUUUUGUUAUUUGCCGACGUCUGCCAAGUGAAUUAGUCCCCCCUUUCCCGGCGCCCCUGCACUGGGAAAACUAGGGAUGCAUAUCGGUUGCAAGAAGCAAAGGCGAUCGGAAGUAUCGGAGCAACACAUAUCAAAAACAUGGCAUUUAUCGACGAUAUUUUCGAUAUAUGUAUGUCUUUUUCUUAUUUACAAGAUAAUUAUGAAUAUUUAUUUUUUAACUACAGCUUUAAAUACGUAUAUCGGAAAUAUAGUUAGAUAAUACUGAUCAAUAAUAUGAAAACUCACACUAAAACGUUAAU
Drosophila biarmipes is the source of this 1189-nucleotide long non-coding RNA. RefSeq lists it as uncharacterized. The transcript is spliced from 3 exons. Lineage: Eukaryota; Metazoa; Arthropoda; Insecta; Diptera; Drosophilidae. The record is from RefSeq and is a predicted model, not a curated record.